Molecule: long non-coding RNA, 752 nt
Organism: Oncorhynchus tshawytscha (Chinook salmon)
Lineage: Eukaryota; Metazoa; Chordata; Actinopteri; Salmoniformes; Salmonidae
Source: Ensembl
CAAACAUUUAAAUCAAUCAGAACUUUUUUCUCUCAGCUUGUAUCUGUCUAUCUCUCUCUUCCUCCAUCAUUACUCUUCCUCUCUUUCUCCUCCUCUUUUCCUAUGUGUGUGUGUGACAAGACUGUGUGCUGUCGCUAUCUCCUCCUGUGUGUGUCACAGGAGUGUGUGUUGCUUUCCUCCUGCAUGUGUGUGUGUUCUCUCUCCUCAGGAGUGUGUGUUGGCGUGACAGGGCUUGUUGUGGCAUUGUGUAGCUGUCAGCCCCGCGGCUGGAGGAAGAUGUAUGAAGACACAGAGACAGGAGGACAGGAGUGCGUCAGAGAGGAUUGAGCUGUCACUGAUUCACAGCAAACUGCUCGGUCAUCACACUGCUGCUGCUUAGAGCAGGUCAGCGAGACGGAGAAAUAGAGGAGAUCCAACAUGUCUACUCUUCCCAUCCCGGCGGGAGCGUCAGAAUAGGGAAGCAUUGUUCCACGGAAGAUGGACGGCCCUUCUAAUGUCUGCCUCUGGAAGAAACAAGAAGAAAAGAGGUGAAAGAGAAGAAAAGGAAAGCUUUGGCCUUCAUGAUACUAGCCGUCAGCCAGCCAGGAGCUGCCAGAGCCGUCAGCCAGCCAGGAGCUGCCAGAGCCGUCAGUCAGCCAGGAGCUGCCAGAGCCGUCAGUCAGCCAGGAGCUGCCAGAGCCGUCAGCCAGCCAAGAGCUGCCAGAGCCGUCAGUCAGCCAGGAGCUGCCAGAGCCGUCGAGCUGCCAGAGCCG